This 447-nucleotide ribosomal RNA is filed under the name uncultured bacterium. Its description in RNAcentral is "partial 16S ribosomal RNA". It matches the Rfam family "Bacterial small subunit ribosomal RNA", at positions 29 to 523 of the family's 1533-position model. The record is from RNAcentral.
AACGAACGCUGGCGGCAGGCUUAACACAUGCAAGUCGAACGCAUCGCAAGAUGAGUGGCAGACGGGUGAGUAACGCGUGGGAACAUACCCUUUUCUACGGAAUAGCUCUGGGAAACUGGAAUUAAUACCGUAUACGCCCUACGGGGGAAAGAUUUAUCGGGGAAGGAUUGGCCCGCGUUGGAUUAGCUAGUUGGUGGGGUAAAGGCCUACCAAGGCGACGAUCCAUAGCUAGUCUGAGAGGAUGAUCGGCCACAUUGGGACUGAGACACGGCACAAACGCCUACGGGGGGCAGCAGUGGGGAAUAUUGGACAAUGGGCGCAAGCCUGAUCCAGCCAUGCCGCGUGAGUGAUGAAGGACUUAGGGUUGUAAAGCUCUUUCACCGAUGAAGAUAAUGACGGUAGUCGGAGAAGAAGCCCCGGCUAACUUCGUGCCAGCCGCCGCGGUAA